RNAcentral lists this ribosomal RNA (405 nucleotides) under uncultured bacterium. RNAcentral describes it as "bacterial SSU rRNA". It matches the Rfam family "Bacterial small subunit ribosomal RNA", at positions 355 to 776 of the family's 1533-position model. The record is from RNAcentral.
CAAGGAAUCUUGCGCAAUGGGCGAAAGCCUGACGCAGCGACGCCGCGUGGGGGAAGAAGGCCUUCGGGUUGUAAACUCCUUUUCUGGGGGAAGAGAAUGGACGGUACCCCAGGAAUAAGCCUUGGCUAACUACGUGCCAGCAGCCGCGGUAAUACGUAGGAGGCGAGCGUUGUUCGGAUUUACUGGGCGUAAAGGGCGUGUAGGCGGUCCGGAAAGUCUUUGGUGAAAUCUUCCGGCUCAACCAGAAGAGGUCCAGAGAUACUUUCGGACUAGAGGGCAGUAGAGGAGAGUGGAAUUCCCGGUGUAGUGGUGAAAUGCGUAGAUAUCGGGAGGAACACCAGUGGCGAAAGCGACUCUCUGGGCUGUACCUGACGCUGAGGCGCGAAAGCGUGGGUAGCAAACCGG